This 24-nucleotide microRNA is filed under the name Monodelphis domestica (gray short-tailed opossum). RNAcentral's name for it is "mdo-miR-7398f-5p". The record is from miRBase by way of RNAcentral. Lineage: Eukaryota; Metazoa; Chordata; Mammalia; Didelphimorphia; Didelphidae.
AGUGUAGAAGAGAGUGGGAAUGUC